UCUUAAGAGACAUAAAAUAGAAGCAGCUUUAGCAACUUCAAAUUCUAAGCCUGUUCAUUCGCAAAAUGUGGACCUUAUUGAAACAUCUGUGGUAACUCCCAUUGCAUGAACCAAGUCAUGUGGUCCAAAAAAGAUGGUUGUGUCAAUAACGGAUGCAAUAGAAAAUCAUCCUUUAAAAAAUAGCAUCAUUAUUGAGGCACAAAAAGCUGUAAUGGAUGAUCGCUUGCAUUGUCUUCUUGUCAAAGUAGCAUGCUCUUACUUAAUUGAU
Hydra vulgaris (swiftwater hydra) is the source of this 268-nucleotide long non-coding RNA. RefSeq lists it as uncharacterized. The record is from RefSeq and is a predicted model, not a curated record. Lineage: Eukaryota; Metazoa; Cnidaria; Hydrozoa; Anthoathecata; Hydridae.